UUUUUACUGGUUUAUGGUUCAUCAUAGAAUUUUCAACAAGUUUAUUCGCGAAAAAUUAUUUGGGACCGUGAAUCAACAACGGCAAAUUUUGAUCCGCCAAAACCAAAAUCGGUGGCUGUCAAGCUACUCAGCAAAAAUAUUGUAGUUGAAGCCCCUGAACCAGAGAGUAAAAAAGCCUCCAACUCAGUUGCGAGGAAAAGUCUCAACAUAAGGCAUGGAAAUUUUACUUGUUUUUAAUUUUUCAUGUAGGCCCAUAUUAUUUUGCUACUUGCUGGCUUUUGUUCAAGAUAGUUCGAUCAUUUUUUGCGGGGCUGAGGGGGGAGGACUUCAGAACAAUUGUCUUUCUGUGCACGGUAAUUUAACAGAGUGUAGAUUCUGAUUAUUUUGCAGGAAAACCUGUCACGACAAAGGUUCUGAUCUUAUGAGAAAAAGUCAGUUACUCAGCAUGUAGAUUCUGAUUAUUUUAUUCUUUUUCUUAACCAUCUGUUUAUAUGUGCGGAGAAGAAGAAUCUGUGUAUCAUAUGGUGAUUCCAGCAUUAUCAACUGAAUGUUUCUGGUUGUGCAUGCUGGGUCAAUGCAUAUAACAUUUAAUUGAUAAUGACAAAAUCCAUCUGGUC
Molecule: long non-coding RNA, 617 nt
Filed under: Carica papaya (papaya)
Lineage: Eukaryota; Viridiplantae; Streptophyta; Magnoliopsida; Brassicales; Caricaceae
Description: long non-coding RNA (CPAP_LNC008843)
Source: RNAcentral